Molecule: ribosomal RNA, 330 nt
Filed under: uncultured Raoultella sp.
Lineage: Bacteria; Pseudomonadati; Pseudomonadota; Gammaproteobacteria; Enterobacterales; Enterobacteriaceae
Description: bacterial SSU rRNA
Rfam family: Bacterial small subunit ribosomal RNA
Source: RNAcentral
UGGGGAAUAUUGCACAAUGGGCGCAAGCCUGAUGCAGCCAUGCCGCGUGUAUGAAGAAGGCCUUCGGGUUGUAAAGUACUUUCAGCGAGGAGGAAGGCAUUAAGGUUAAUAACCUUAGUGAUUGACGUUACUCGCAGAAGAAGCACCGGCUAACUCCGUGCCAGCAGCCGCGGUAAUACGGAGGGUGCAAGCGUUAAUCGGAAUUACUGGGCGUAAAGCGCACGCAGGCGGUCUGUUAAGUCAGAUGUGAAAUCCCCAGGGCCUCAAGCCUGGGAACUGGCAUUGAACUGGCAGGCUGAGUCUUGUAGAGGGGGGUAGAAUUCCAGGGUG